Long non-coding RNA from Cervus elaphus (red deer), 1444 nucleotides. RefSeq lists it as uncharacterized. The record is from RefSeq and is a predicted model, not a curated record. Lineage: Eukaryota; Metazoa; Chordata; Mammalia; Artiodactyla; Cervidae. The transcript is spliced from 3 exons.
UAGUGGGAUGCCAGGCCCAAAUUAGGGUGUGUUCUUUGGACGCCAAGGUCAAAUCCAGAGGUAAAACGUUACUCAUCCAAAGGCUGCAGAAGAUCAAGCAAAGAGAGACGAUUUGAAAGGCAAACCUUAGGAGAGACUGAAUCAGAAGUCUGCCUGAGGGCGUCUCUGGUGUCUCAGUGGUAAAAAAUCUGCCUGCCAAUGCAGGGCACUCAGCUUCCAUCCCUCUUCCGGGAAGAUCCCCCAUGCCUCGGAGCAACUAAACCCCUGUGCCACGGCCCCUGAAGCCUGUGCCCUAGAGUCCGGGAGCCACAGCUGCUGAGCCCGAGGGCUGAGCGACCGAGGCCCCAGCACCCUCCGGCCCGUGCUCGCCAAGAGACGCCACCGCGACGGGAAGCCAGUGCGUCCCAGCUGGAGAGCAGACCCCCUCAGAGCCACGUGAGAGAGCUGGGCAGCAGCAGAGAGGCAGCACAGCCAGAAAAUAAAAGUGAAUGAAUAAAAUUAUAUAAAAAAGUUUGCCUGAGCGUCUUCCACCCAAAGAAGCAAGACAGAAAAGUAUUCUGCCGACGAGGUACCGGGGAGGGGAACCAGAUGGUCUGGAAGCAGGGCUUUUAGGGACCACUGGGGAUGCUGGUUCUGAGAGAAAGGGAACCAUCCCUGCAGAGGGCACCACCUCCUGGCUCAGAGAGAAUGAUACUGCGGCACUAGCCUUAUCCUCCAGAAGGAUUUUCUGCGGCCUGAUCUGCUCACAGUGCAGAGCUUCUUGCUGGCUUGCUGCGGCUGCAUCGGCAGAACUCUGAACUUUAUACCUUCUAUUCUUCUGGCCACUUUACAGAGACCAAUACAACCGACACGGUUGAAAGGAGCAAUGAUUGUGGCCAUUCCUGCCUGGUUCAGUCUGAAGGUCGGGGGAAAGUGCUCAACAUUUCCAUUUUAUGCAUAUUAUUGGCAGCAGGCUUUUGAGUUUUCUUUUUACCAGAUUAAGGAAAUAUUUUUCUAGGUCUAGUUUGCGAAGUUCUUUUAAAUUUUUAUUAUAAAUGAAUAUGAAAUUUUAUCAAAUACGUUUUCUGACUCUAUUGAGAUGAUUAUGUGUGUCCCUCAUUCUGUUAAUGUGGUGAAUUGCACUGACUGAUUUUUGAAUGUUAAAUCAAUCUUGCCUUCCUGGAAUAAACCAUACUUGCUGGGUUUGAUUUGUUAUUAUUCAGUUUUGAAUUUUUACAUCUUAGUCUGACAGAAAUUGGCCUAUAAUUUUACUUUCCUAUUAUAUCUUUGACAGAUCAUGGUAUCAAGGCCUUGUAAAACAAGUUGGAAUGUAUUCCCGUGUUACCUGUUUUCUAAAAGAGUUUGUAUAAGAGAGUUAUGGGGGAAUUUACAAGCAGUCUUGCUUGGGACUAGACUUCUCUUUGUGGAAAGGUUUUUAAUUAUGGAUUCAGUUACUUUUACAGAU